Molecule: ribosomal RNA, 475 nt
Filed under: Xyleborus monographus
Lineage: Eukaryota; Metazoa; Arthropoda; Insecta; Coleoptera; Curculionidae
Description: partial 16S ribosomal RNA
Rfam family: Bacterial large subunit ribosomal RNA
Source: RNAcentral
CUUUKUGAAUWUWAUUURAASUCUGGCSUGCCCAAUGAUGUUUAUURAAUGGCCGCGGUAUACUGACCGUGCAAAGGUAGCAUAAUCAUUAGUUUUUUAAUUGGAAGCUUGUAUGAAAGGUCGRAUGAGGAAAUUUCUGUCUCAGAUAAGAUUACUUAGAAUUUUAUUAUUUUGUAAAAAGGCAAAAAUGAUCAUAAAAGACGAGAAGACCCUAUAGAGUUUUAUAAUUUAAAUAGAAAUGAUAAUUAGGAUACUUUUUUUUAUUUAUUUGAAUUAUUUGGUUGGGGUGAUUGAAUAAUUUAAUAAACUUUUUUUAGUGGWUUUCACUGAUGUGUGAAUAAAUGAUCCUUAUUAAAGAUUAAAAGAAAAAAUUACCUUAGGGAUAACAGCGUAAUUUUCCUAGAGAGUUCAUAUCGAAAGGAGAGUUUGCGRCCUCGAUGUUGGAUUAAAAUUAAGGUCUGGUGUAGCAGCUAGA